UGUCCUGUGGCUUAGUUGGUUAAAGCGCCGGUCUAGCGAAUAAGAAGUUAUGGGUUCAAACCCCACCAGAACGC
Molecule: non-coding RNA, 74 nt
Organism: Aedes albopictus (Asian tiger mosquito)
Lineage: Eukaryota; Metazoa; Arthropoda; Insecta; Diptera; Culicidae
Source: Rfam